AGAUUCCUGCCUUUCACAGUGUGUAUCUGUGAAAUUUCCAAAAGAACAGCAGGCUUUCUCAAGUAAUGAUUUCAAGAUGCCAGGUGGUGCAAGAAUCUCAUUCAACUGUGUGGAUUCCUCUCUUUCAUCUCUGAAAAACUGCCAGUCUUACAUAAAUACUGGAAUGGAUAUUGCUACUCAUGUUGCCCUUGACCUUGUGGAAAGCUUCAAUGAUGUAGAGGAUGUUAACAGUAUGGAAAAUGUUAUGUUAGAAUAUGCUGCAAUGGACAGAGAACUUAAUCAUUAUAUGAGAGCAAUUGAAGAAACGGUGAAUCAGGUAAA
Molecule: long non-coding RNA, 321 nt
Organism: Pygoscelis adeliae (Adelie penguin)
Lineage: Eukaryota; Metazoa; Chordata; Aves; Sphenisciformes; Spheniscidae
Exons: 3
Source: RefSeq, a predicted model, not a curated record